GAUGAACGCUGGCGGCGUGCCUAAUACAUGCAAGUCGAGCGAACAGACGAGGAGCUUGCUCCGCUGACGUUAGCGGCGGACGGGUGAGUAACACGUGGAUAACCUACCUGUAAUACUGGGAUAACUUCGGGAAACCGGAUCUAAUACCGGAUAAUAUAUUGAACCGCAUGGUUCAAUAGUGAAAGACGGUUUUGCUGUCACUUAUAGAUGGAUCCGCGCCGCAUUAGCUAGUUGGUAAGUUAACGGCUUACCAAGGCAACGAUGCGUAGCCGACCUGAGAGGGUGAUAGGCGACACUGGAGCUGAGCCACGGUCCAGACUCCUACGGGAGGCAGCAAUAGGGAAUCUUACGCAAAGGGCGAAAGCAUGACGGAGCAACGGCGAGUGAGUGAUGACGGUCUUCGGAUCGUAAAACUCUGUUAUUAGGGAAGAACCACUGUGUAAGUAAAUAUGCACGUCUUGACGGUAACUAAUAAGAAAGCCCCGGCUAACUACGUG
This 497-nucleotide ribosomal RNA is filed under the name uncultured bacterium. Its description in RNAcentral is "partial 16S ribosomal RNA". It matches the Rfam family "Bacterial small subunit ribosomal RNA", at positions 28 to 507 of the family's 1533-position model. The record is from RNAcentral.